This 18587-nucleotide long non-coding RNA is filed under the name Malus domestica (apple). Its description in RNAcentral is "long non-coding RNA (MDOM_LNC013803)". The record is from RNAcentral. Lineage: Eukaryota; Viridiplantae; Streptophyta; Magnoliopsida; Rosales; Rosaceae.
UUUAACUACAAAUAUGGAAUAUGUUUUGAAUCCUGUGGAGUUGACUGACUGAUAAGUUGGGCAUUAAAUUCCCUUUCAUUUGCAUUCUAAUUUUGGAUAAAAUUUAUAAAUCCAAACAUUUAUUAGAUUUCGCUUCAGUUUGGUUUAUAAGAAAAUUUUCCUAUUUAUAAAUUUUCUACCCUGCAAGUGUUCAAGGUUUUUUAUCUGUACUUUGUAGGCUGAGAUUUAGGUUUGUUUAAGACCAUGAUUGACCCGUUUACCUGAUCUCUUCCAUCAACUACUUUACUGCGUUGACAAUAACCCUUUCAUCUUCUCCUGAUCUCUUCCAUCAACUACUUUACUGCGUUGACAAUAACCCUUUCAUCUUCUCUUGUGUUACAUUUAACCUUUUAUAUCCAAUAGACAUUUACUGAUGAGUCUUUUUUGUAUUGUUCCAUCACCAUUCUUGUGUUCCGUCACCAUUUCUUUCUUUCUGGUAGUUCCAUCGCCAUGUCUUAAGAAAAGACAUGGAGCUAAAGGAUGACUUGGCGCAAAACUGAGCGUGGUAGUGUUCUAGGAUUCAUGUAGCUAACUUCACUUAGUAGGAUAAGACUUUGUUGUUGUUGUGGUAGUAGGCUCCUCUUAUUUCUUUCCUGAAUAAACUGCAAUUAUUUCAUCACCUUAUUCUGGAUUUGAAAGGUCGCUAUCAAGUGUGGAAUACGCAGAGAAAGCUGCAUUGCAUAAGCAUUCCAUGUGGUCAAGUUUAGCUGUUGAUGUGCUUCUGGGAAACUUGUUUGGUUUGGUACUGUUGUAUCAUGCAGAAUCUGCUUGCAUAUGGAUAUUAAAAUUUUCCAGUGACAUUACAAAUGAGUUAUUGCGCUCAGGCUGUGUGUGGUUGAUGGGGGUACCUGCAGGUUUUAAGUUAAACAAUGAAUUGGCAGAAGUUCUUGGGAUGAUUUCUUUAACUGCUAUCCAGAUUUGGUCUACCAUUUGGAUCUUUUUGGUGUCCCACUUUCUUUAUUUCAUUAGAGGACUUGCCAUAUCAGGAAUCAUUUUUGGGGUGACUAUACCUGCUGCUUUGAUAAUCGACUUGAUUGCUCUAGCAACGUUGCAUGUGUCUACUCUUCAUUGGUUGAUAUCGCUUUUAUAUUCAACUCAGAUACAGGCAUUAGCAGCUCUCUGGCGCCUUUUCAGGUAUUAUUUUGUGAUGUCUUGUUCUUCCUUUUUCAGUUUUUAAAACUUCACACGACACCAGCUGCAGUAACUAAAUACAGGAUGUUUUUACUUUUUUUGCUUAUUGUAUACAUGCGAUAGGGUCAUUUUUCUAACCAACCUAUUUUCUAUCCCUUAAGACAUGUCAUAUGCUUAUUCAGAACCUGCUGGUUGGACUUGUAGCUCUUUAAUACAUAGUUCUUCAGUCAAAUUACACUUGUAGUUCCUGCAGUUUGCCCAUUUUCCAAUUCCCUGUACUUUAAAUAUGUUUUAAUUGAACCCUGGUAUUUUGAUUACAUUUGCAAUCCAGGACUAAAUGUAGAUCAGUCUGGCAACGUGAAAAUUAUAUGAUAGGUAUGUUUUGAGACAUCUACCACAUCACCACUCCGUUAAUUUAUUAGAUGCAGUUGUUUUGUCCUCAAUUUGCAAAUGUAGCAAAGGGAUAGGCAUGAAAUUGAAAAUAUUUAGAAGCACAGGGAUUUAUGUGGAAAGCAGGCUAAACUACAGGGAAAGUGUGACUUGACCUGGUUCAGCUAUUAGCCAACCUUCCAAUAAAGAGGCACUUCUGUUCCUGAUUACUGUCAUUAUGGAACUUUACUCGUUGGUUUAACCUUGGCCUUUUUAUUUGUCUAGCUAGUUGCUACUGUGCUUUUAUAUGGGGAUUUGAUUGUAUGGUAGUAUUAGAUUUACCAUAUAUGCAGCUGCCAUCUGCAAUAAGAAUGCCCAUAAUGCUAAAAAAUGAAAUUGGAAACCCCGUAACAAGUGUGCUUUGAAGCAUAAUAUAUGUUUUUAUGUAUGCAGUCAAAUUUUACCACAGUGCAUCAGUCCGACAGCAUGUUACUUUCAAGUGCAUUGCAUUUAGGCGCUUUACUCCGUUUGCACUUUAUUACGACAUAUUGACCUAACAACUAGCGUGCACUCAAAACUGCAGUCACUUUAUUAAUAUCACCUCUUGGUUCCUGUAGCAGAGUCAUGUUCGUGUAAGCUAAAAUGUUAAAUCUUUGGAUCCACUAACUUCUUGUAUGUUUCCCUUUAUAAUGUUGAGAAUAUCACGUUUAAGAAUGGGACAAAUAGAACAAACUCUUGAAAUCGAAAACAAAUAACCAAGAUAAAUAGCACCAAGAAUUUACGUGGUUCGGCAAUAUGUGCCUACGUCCACAGGACAGCAACAACAAUCUUUCACUAUAUCAAUAAUGAGUACAACCAAUAAUCUUGCCGAAUCUCUAGAACUAGGAAUUGACGAAAAACCUGAAAGAACAAGAACAAGAAAUACACUCUCUCUUUUCUUUUCUCUCGCACACUUAUUGUUUUGCUCCUUCAAUCAAAACUAGUACAAUAGCCCCUUUAUAUAUACAUAAUAAAGGUCUUCUUCAAUAAGGAUUACUAAUCCUAAUUGGAAACUAGUUAUAAAACCUACUCCAAUUGGGAAAACAAUUUAAUCCUCUAAGACUAUUAAUUCCCAAUAGACUUAGGGCAACUUAUCAUGGGCUGGAAAAAACCCAACAUAUAAUAUAAGUAUGCAUAACAUCCUGUUUCUAGAAGAGAUUGCUGUGCUUUUUAUAUCUAUUUAUCUGUUGAUAUACUCAUAUAUGUAUGUAAUAAUGUCUGUAUGUAUAAAUAAUAUACAGUGUACGCCCAUACAAGACAUGCUUGUCUAUAUUGUAUUGUAGUUAAUUUUGUUAUAAUUAAUUGACUUAAAUUGCUAUUUUCUGAGAAAAGCUCCCUUUUAUUGCGCACCUGGCCACAAUUCAAUUAUAAAUUUAGAAUUUCAAUUGUAUACUGCUGGUGAAGGUAUAAGUAAAAUAUGUCCUUGAUCAGUAAUUGUUUUGCUGUUUUACUACAUCUAGGUGCUCAUGUACUUACUGGAUGUUUUUCAGGGGCCGAAAGUGGAAUCCUCUUCGUCAGAGAUUAGAUAGCUAUGACUACACUGUCAAGCAACACAUCGUUGGAUCUCUUCUGUUCACACCACUCCUACUUCUAUUACCGACAACUUCUGUUUUCUACAUCUUUUUUACCAUUAUGAAUACAACUAUCAGCCUUAUGUGUAUACUGAUUGAAGUCACUAUAUCUUUCAUUCAUGCCACACCAUAUAUCAAAAUUUUCCUUUGGUUGGUGAGGCCGAGAAGAUUUCCAUCUGGGAUAUGGUUUGAAAUUGUAUCUGUUUGGAGUGGUGGAAUUGAUUCUCCUAGGGAUAUUAAUUCACCGUCAGAGAAACUGCAGCCCGGAAAGGGCCUCACCGGAGAAAAAUCAUCUGUGGUGGUUUCAUUUCUUCAUAGUAACUUCUUGACUGUAGGUGAGAGCUUGAUCUCUGUCUAGUGCAUUAGUGAUAUUUCUGUAGUCUACUGUAUCUCAAGUCUGAAAGUUUCACAUGUUAAUUACUCGGUCUUGGCUUUUCUCGUAACUAUAUUGAUGGAAUAUAUAUACCAGGACAAAUAGUCAUGCCUCACUACAACAAGGUUCUUUCUGGGAAACCUCGGACAUUGGUUGCCACUGCAGCUUAUGGAGUCCUCACUGGCAGACGGUGAGUUGAAAAUUGAAUUCAAAUUUGAUCGUUUUCAUGGCUGUUUUAAUUUUUAAUUUUUAAUAAAUUGAUUCCAGGAUUCCAUCUUCAAUUGGAACUGAUCUUCCAACAUUUCCGUGGAUGCUAAUCUCCUACAAAGAGUAUUGGCGUCUCUGCCGCGAUUCAGUUCUUGUAUGCUACAGAGCGUGACAUGUAACCAGUCUUGCUGCUGCCAGUUAACACCUAACUGCAUUUAUUUAACCUAACCUGAAAUUUUGUUCUCCCAUGUAAACCAAUUUUUCUGUUCAUCGAUUUGUUUAGGACCGUACAGGCAACAUAUCCGAUUCAAUUUUGAAGGAUUGUAGGAUGAAGGGUUUUUUUUGGUAAAUGAAAACCAAGUUAUUUUUUAAAUUUGUUAUAGUUAAUUCAUCUGUUUCAUCUAAAAUGUCUGCUCUGUUGCGUAAUUGACGUGAUUCAAGUCUCAGGCGAUCGGAAGUCUGCUGUUGGUUGAUUCUGACCUAAGAUAAUUGAUAACAGGUGUGGACGGUUCAACUGGGAUGAAUUGAGCUAUAACACUGCUUGUCUCCUUUCAGUGGGGUCAUCACCUGCAGUUGCAAGUCACGGGCCGACGCCCAUACCUGGAUAAUUGAUAACAGGUGUUAACGGUUCGGUCGAGAAUAAAAAUGUGCCGGGGAGAAUUUCCAUUGCACUAACAUCGAGUGACAGAGCUAUUGUUGGGCUUAGUUAGGUCACAAUUCAGCCGGCAGAGAGCUAACUGAAAAGCAGACAGAAACGUUACGAAAUGCUUUUACACUUGGAAGCUUCAUGUUCUGCCUAAGUUGCAGAUCUCAAGUGAAGACCAGUACUUUCGUAAAGAAGCAAAACCCACACGUUUCAAGGCUAUGAUUGCUGCAUAAAACUGAGUUGAUGCCGACCUACAUUUAUUCUUGUUUUGUUUCCUUGUGCGAAAAGCUUACUAUGCUCUAGAUCAAAAGAUGGCUGGACAUGUGGUUAAAUCUCCCAAUUUUAAGUGUAUUUUAUUUUUUGAAAUUGUGACAUGACAAAAAUGCCUCUUAAGGUAAUUAUUGACUUGUUGUUGACUUUCGUGCUUGUGAUACAUACGAGUGUUCUAAAAAUCAGCCUAGGCGGCCGCCUAGGUGUUAGACAGCGAUCAGCCACGUCAGCCAUCAUAUUAACAUUUGGGAUCUCCAUUAGAUAUGCUCUUUUAUGUUUUAAAGUCAAAAUUUAAUGGACUUGUCCACCCAAUUUGAAAAGUCCAAAAUGAACUCAAUGAAUCUAUAUGGACCUUUGGGCAUUUCUGAGGUGCAGACCUUAGAAAUAGACCUUGCGUGCAGACGGGAAUAAGACAGUCUUGAUUUGUUGAGCUCACGGUAGAACUCGAUUGGUGUGAUAUAAAGGAAUUAAAUUAUUUUUAAUUAUUUUCUUCACUAGGUAUCUUUUAUUUGGAGAGAAAAGGGGGGGGGGGGGGGGGGGACUGAGAGUUCGCACGUUUAAGAGGGAAAGAGACACAGAGUGUGAGCUGGGGUGAGGAUUGUAUUUGAGGUGGAUUGAAGUUGCGUUGCGAUUGUGACCCAAUCAUGUUAUACCGUUAAUUUUUUUUUUCUUCAUUAGGCAUCUUGUUGCCAGAGAGAAAGGGGUAGGUGGGUAGUUGAGGUAAUAUUGGUGCGCUGAAGAGGGAAAAAGAGGCUGAGAGGGAGCUGAGCUGAAGAACCGAUUUUAGCUGGAUUGAAAUUGCGUUGUGGCGGUGACCUAGUAAUCUUAUACCUUUAAUUCUUUUGGUUUACUAGAUUUUUUUUCUUUUUAAUUUUUAAUUUUUUUUUUGUCAUUGAGAGAGGGAGAGAUUAGGGUUGUCUUCGUCGAGAAAGAGAGGCGGAGAGAGGGAGGUGGUGAAGAGUGUCAAGGUUCGAUUUCAUGUGAAGUUGUGCUUGUGUUGAAGUUGACAAUGGUGGUUCAUCCAGAAGCUGUGAAGAAACCAAGAUUGUGAAGGUGACUUUUUGAAGAAUUUUAGAACCUCUGGUAUAAUCAAUUUCCAUUCCAUUUCGGUUUGUACAAUUCUGGGAUUUUACUUAGUCAAAAUCGUGAAAUUGGAUAUUAGAUACAUAUGUGCAAAACUUGUGCUGGGUUGUGAUAAGUGGUGUAGAUUGGUAGUAGGUAGACAUAGAAGUGUAAUUCGAUGGGGAUGAGUUAGAAACAGACGAAAUUGUGAUGGAAAGAGAGGAUGUAGAUAUGGGGGAUCAAUGUGGUGCAAGGAGGGUUGAAUUAGUUUUUUCUAACGGUAGAUGAUGAGUUGAAAUUGAAAUUAAAAAUGGAGUUUGAGCCAUUGGAUGAAGGGUAUGCUUUUUACAACAAUUAUGCACUUGUAGCGGGGUUUGAGAUUCAUGAGUAUAGUAGUAAAAAGUCUAGGUACAGUGAAAGUUGGUUAUGAAAUUGUUUGUUACAAACAAGGCAAGAAGAGGGUGGAUGCUAAUCCCAUACCUAAUAUGAAAGGUAGGAGGGGAGAUGCUAGAACUGAGUGCAAAGGCGAAACUUGCGAUGAAUAAGGGAAUUGGUUGUGAAACAUUUGGUGUAAUAGUUUUCAAUGAUUGACAAAAGCACCCUAUGUCAAGUGCAUCACACUUAUUUAGAUCACUUCGUUGAGUUUUAGAGGCAAUGAGGGUGAUGAUUGAACAAUGUGCAUAGGACAAUAUGAAGGAAUUAUUUUGUGAAAACAUGUUCAUUUAAGCAACAUCAUAUAGCAUGCAAUUAACAAUUAAAGGCGGAAUCAUGCUAUCAUGCACUUAAAAACAAAACAUUACCCAUGAAAUUCAAAGCCUAGUAAAUUGGUGAACCAAUAAUCAACUAAAAACAAAGUGAGUUGAAAUUAAUACCUUUGUAGAUUCCUCUUUGCAUAAGCAAAGGCUAAUCACCCAAAGAGAUAGGGCCUUCAUUCCUUGCUUCUUAGAUCCAUGGAUUUGGAUGGAAGAAUAGGUUCUCCAAGUUCCCAAAAUUGAGAACCUCUAAGUCUCUUCACCAAGGUUAGAUUGUAGAAGAAAUGAGUGACCUUGGAGUAGUAGGAUUGCUAGAUGUACCCUCCAAGGUGUUGGCCUCUUUAGAGAGAAAAUGGAGAGACAAUUCUCACCAAUUUCCCCAAAAUAAACCCUUUUAUCACUUAAUGAAUAUUAGUUAUAAAGUCAUUUAUAUAGUCACUUCUUUAAGUGACCUAAACAACCAAAACCCUAAUUCAUUUCAUCAUGGCCGGCCAUUUAGGGGAUUUUGGGCUUUUGGGCUUUAAUGAAUCUUCAUUCAUUAAAUUGUCAUACAACUUAAGUUAAUGGGCUUGACGUUCGAAGCCCAUUGGGCCUUAAGGUCCAAAACUAUCCCGAAGUCUUUAACGAACUUAUUCGUUUGAUUAAUUAACAUAUUAAUUAAUCCUUGCCAUAAAUAAAUGAUUAAACCAUUUAAUCAUUCUUACUCAUUUCCGUUUAAUCUCCAAUCUCUACCUUUUAUGGUGUGCGAUCCAUUAGGUUCCUUUUAGCGAGGUAGUGGGCGAUUAAAACCAUUUUACAUCGAUUGUGAAUUGAAACUAUUUUCAAUUCUCCCUUUAGUGAUUACACACGUUUAGGGCUUCCACAAACCAUGAGUGACACCUAGCAGCAUGUCAUGGUUACCCAAGCUAAUCAGAAGAGGUGGAGACCCUAUUCAGUUCGAGAUUACAAAUGCAAUACGGUCAUUCUCUAAUCUAAUACUCUUGACCACAUUGUUUGGUUUGAUAGUUUAUUUUCUCAUGUUUACUAUCCAAUGUGUGUCUUGUGCUUAUAUGAUUACCUUGAAUGUGAUUCGGAACGCAUUCCCUAAUCUCAUUCAUACUCUGGCCAGAGAUUCAAAUCAUAUCAGAGAGUAUUCUCCCUUAAACGGUUUGAAGGUUAGAGAUCCCUUGUUGCGCAUUCACUUGUCUCCAUAGCUAAGCGGCUUGACCCCAACGAUGCCGUGGACACCCUCCUGAUGGAGUGACUUUGACAUAAUCAAAGAUCAAGGUCUUAACCACAAGACAACUAUGAUGCCUCAGGUCAAAGGACUAAUUUGCAUUAUCCCAACCAUGAGUUCUCAUGUGACAUGGAAUAUGAGAACUCUUCGUUGAUCGCGUUCAGUGAACUCAUUCUCUAUUGAGCACCUACCGUACUUGUCUUGAUGUCACACACACCAAUGAUUCGAGACUAAUCACUCUCCUUGAGAGAAGACAUAGUACGUACUGAUCUUAACGGACUGUCAACGCCCAAUUGGCAAUCCUAUGAUCAGGAACGUUUAGGAUGUGUCUACGAAAGAAUGGUCUCAUGAAUCUAACUUCAUUAGAUUACAUUCUCCCAAUCACAUAUUCCUUGGACUUUAUCGUUUAAGCAUAUAACAUUUAUAUGAGACGGCUCAAACAAUAAUGUAUGCCCUUUAUAUGUAAAACUAGAUUAGUUUAACAUGUGAAAUGUCCGUAAAGUAUCAUCACAUGAUUGGCUUUAGGGCACAUUUCCAACACAAUAUUCCAAUAAGUAAACAAGUGGGUUUAUUGGAGGUGCAAAAUGGAGGAAUUAGAAAUAUUGGUUGCACCCCCAAGAAUAUGUAUAACGUUGAACAACAACUGCGAACUCAUCUAAUCAGGCAUAAUGCGAAAAUGUUGAAAGAGCAUUUUGAGGAUGAGAAAGAGAAAAAUGAUUCAUUUUAUUUCAAGAUAGAGAUUGAUGAAGGUGGGACACUUAAGAAUUCAUUUUGGGCGGAUGCUAAGUCAUGACGUGUUUAUUGCCAUUUUGGUGAUGUGAUUGUGUUUGACACCACUUGCAAUACCAAUGUGCACGGGAUGAUGCUUGCUCCUUUGUUAGGAGUUAAUAACCACGGUUAAACCAUGGUAUUGGGUUGUGCAUUUUGAAAAAUGAAAAAACCACGAUCUUUAAGUAGUUGUUUGAAGAAAUGCUUAAAUCUUAACUGAGUGAGUCGCCAAAUGUCAUAACUAUAGAUCAAGAUGAAGUUAUAGCAAGGGCUAAUGUCAGCAAACUACCAACCACCUUUCAUCGGUACUGCAUAUGACAUAUUAUUAAUAAGUUCAAUGACAAGGGUUGGGUUGAGGACGUUUUCAAGGAUUGCAUGCUUGCAUAUGAGAUAUUGAAAGCAAAGAAGAAUUUGAGGCAAGGUGGAAGGUGUUGGUAGAAGAACAUGAACUGGUUCAUAAAACGUGGCUUAAGAACAUUUAUAAGUUGCGUGCAAGGUUUCAACAUUUUGUAAGCAUGCUUUUUAGUCGAAAUGUCAAAUAGUCAACGUGCCGAGAGUUGUCAUUCUUUUUCAAGCAAUAUGUGCAUAUGAAGCACUCUUUGAUUGAAUUCAUCAUUCCAUUAAAUCGAGCUCUUAGACGGCAACGUCAGAAAGAGGUGGUUGGUGACCUUAAUGAUGAAAACCGUGCCCUUCCAUUGCAGCUUUGCACCUCAGUGGAAACUAAAUUGGCCAAAUUGUACACACGAUUUAUGUUCGAAAAAUUUUAAGUGAGGAAUUGAAGAGUUCGACUUAUUUCUUGAGGGAGCAGUGGUGGGAUGGCAAUAAGGCAUUGUACAAAGUACUUGAGAGUGCUGCAGGGUGACAAAGAUGAAGAGGUUGGUGGUUGAUACGAUCUCGGGAUAUGCUAAAUGCAGCUGCAAAUAGAUGAAGUUUUGGGGACUUCCUUGUUGACACAUAUUUGUCGAUUUGAGAAUGGAACAAAUAGAGUUGUUACCGGAACGUUACAUACUGAAAAGGUGGCUUCAAGUCGCCAAAUCCGGCAUUGUUUUUUACACUGGAGGGAAAGAAGUGGGCAAACACGCCGACAAUUCUAUCUUGUUCAAAAGAGCUCAGUUUUCAAUAAAAGUUUCAGAUUUAAUUAGCAAGGCGUUGAUGCUGGAGGAAGGUACCCAACUUCUAUCCCGGGCUUUGAAAUCAUAGGAUAUGAAGCUCAACUCUUUAGGUGUGUUAAUAGCGGUGGGCAAACGGGCCUUGUACCUGCGGGUUGGGGGGAGGGUCCAUACUGUUCCGGGCGGGUACAAAUAUUGUAAACUCAAAAUGGGGUGGGGUGGAUCCCAAUAUAUGAGAAAAUGGGCCCCGGGCCCAGACCGAUUCAAUUGUCCAUUAUAUGAGAUUAAAUCUUCACCAUGUAUUUCUUAAACAUUAGAUCACUCUCUCUCCACCGUUUUCAUUCUCUCUGAGUCUCUCCACCUUUCUUGAUUCCUCAAAGACUCAAAUUGAAGUAUUGAACUUGUCUCUUGACUCGAAUUCGUAACGGCAGUGGCUGCACAGUACUCCUUUCAUCCAUCCCUCGUCUCUUGGUCUCUCCUCUGUCGACUCUAUCCUCAAAUUUACCCAACUUGAGACACAACCUUAAGGUCUUUCUCUCUCCCCACUCCGACCACCACCAUCAUAUCUUCUUAAAUCCGACCAACACUCUGCUAUUCUGUUCGGAGUCUUCAAUUUUAAUGUAUUGAUUGUUAGAGAUUUAGGAUUUAGGAUUUUUUAGAUAUAGGAAUUUUGGGGGUGUGGACCUAAUAAUUUCUAGUUGUCUGAUGAUGGAAUUGACUGAUUAGUUUUCUAAUUUUGAAGCUUUGCAUUUUGUUUUUAAAUGAGAUUGGAAUUAUGAGAAUUUUCAGAUUUAGGGCAUUGGGGAUUGGUGGGCAAAUAUUGGGGUGGCUUAAUACUGACAUGUUUAUUGGUAUGUGUGUUCAUUGUUGCGGUGUUGAGGAAGAACACUUUUUGUGAUAAAAAAAUUUGGAAAUUUUAUAUGUUUUUAACUGAUUGAUGAAAUUGUGUAUCCACAGUAUUGCGUUUUUGUGAUUUUGAUAAUUGGAGAAUGUGUUAAUUGUUGAAUUCGAUUGUUUGACGAAGCUGUUGAUUGAAUCCAACUGUUCUGGAAAAAAAAAAUGGAUUGGACCCGUGGACCAAUCCCGAUUCGGCCCAUUUUAAAUGGGUUGAGUUAGGUCCGGUUUCAAAACUCAAAUUUCCUAUAACCGACCCCGCCUGUCCCGUUGCAUUUUUUAACGAAUCCAGUCCAUCCUUCAAAUUUGGGCUCGGCCCGGCCUGUGCCCACCCCUAGGUGGUAACCGUGGUCAGAAAAGAAAACAAACUGAAGAAGGAGGCAGGAGUUCUCAAACCAAGGUGCUUAAGGAUCCUAUUCAAGUUAAAAGAAAAGGGGCGUAAAAAGUAAGUACGAAAGACAAACGAAGUCAAAAUCGGAGACGCAGUAGUAGAAUUGUUGGUAUUAUAAAAUUGUUUCGUAGUUGGUCCACCUAGCAUUCUAACCCAGCAGACCUUGACAACCUUUUUUGGUAUUUUUUGUUAUAUUCGGGUAUUAUAGAAAUAUUUCAGCAUGUACAUACAUUUUCAUAUAUAUUAUAAACAAAUAAUUUUUUUUUGUUUUUAAUUAUUGUUUAUUUUAAUUAAAAUAAUUACAAAAAAAAAUUAAAAUGAGUAAUUUAAUAAAAUCAUAAAUAAAGGAAAACAAAUUAAAAAAAAAAAAAACCUUUGUUCGACGAAAGACCUUCGUUGCAUAUGAUUAAAAAGGAAGCUUUCAUCCCGCAGGGCCUUGGACAACGAAAAUUUCAUAAUUCAAAAAUAUUAAAAUACUUGAAAUCCAAAUUUUAUUGGACAAAUUUCGUAGCAUCCUUGUUUACUCAAUGAAAAAAUUUGUCACACUGAGUCUUACCUAACGACUAGUUGUCGCUGUAAACUCAAUCUGACAACAAGCUGUCGUACCCUUUAGUUUGGUGCUACGGUACGCUUCGUUCCCCUAUCUUUGAGGUGACAAACGCAUUAUUUGUCAAGGAAAGAGCCUUGCGCGACUGCGUCUGCGAGACAAAGUUUUCGUUGAGCCAAUGUUUAUGCUACGAAAAUUGACUUUAUGUGAUGAACUUUUGUUCGUAGCGAAAAUUGUUUACUGUAAUAGUGUUAUGCUGUGGUUAAUAGUUUUGUAAUUAUUACCUGCCUUUUUUUACAUUGUGAAAAGACUUAUCUUCACAUGAAAUUCUAACUUUGUCACUAAAUGCACAUCAUAUAGUGUAACACCUGGCAACAUUUUUUUGGUUUUCUUGUGGAUUUUUUCCUUGGAUGUUGUCUAAGCAACGACAACAAUUCAUAACUAUCAUACAUGAAUGGUUCACGAGAUCAAACUAACAUAACUGAUUUCAACACCGUAUAGUGUAACACCUGGCAACAAUUUUUUGGUUUUCUUGUGGAUUUUUUCCUUGGAUGCUGUCUAAGCAACGAAAACAAUUCAUAACUAUCAUACAUGAAUGAUUCACGAGAUCAAACUAACAUAGCUGAUUUCAACACAUAAACUCUAGUUUCCAUAUGGUUGAUGUAGGCUCUCUCGCUCUCGCUCACACACACACACACACACAUUUCCAAGAAUUAAUUAAAAAACAGAAAGAAAAAGAUAUAGGGAGGGAGCAAACAAAAUUGGUCACGGGCAUUGAGUUAAGUUAGACCAAACGAAAGGGCUCUACGGUACUGGCAAUGCUUUCCUGUGAGGACAAACAGAGAAGUGGGUGAGAGGUGAGUGCUUGCAUGGUUGUAAUAUAUAAUAGUUUUAUGUUCUUGCAUGUUUCACUCUCUAACGAUUCAGUUGAUUUCAUCAGUUGUAUAUAUGUUGGCCAUUAGAAACCGGCCUAACAGUAGCAGGGACAUGUGAGGGCACAUGUGUGAGGUGGCAUCCUAUAUACCCUAUCGCUUUCACAAUGCCAUCAUUCACAUGCAUGAUAAGAAUCACUAAACUUGAGGAAAGCAAAAUAUAUCGAUCCAUGAUAUAUAUCCAAGAUCCAAUCAGAAUAAAUGUAGUUAUUUUUUUCCUUCAAAAACUUGAUAUCUUGAAGCGUUUUUCACUAAUAUUAACAUUUGUCAUACAGUUCUAAUUAAUUAAAUAAACUUUUGUUCUAGUUUUUAGGUAACUUAUAUGGAAAAGAAAACUUGCAAUCUGUUGCUUACAUGUGGUUCUCAACUUUCAUCACAUGUCUCGUGGAUUCAAAGACAAUUUUUUUUUAUUUUUUAUUUUUUUGGUCUCUUCUCAUUUCUUGGACUCAUAUAGUGUUUGCUAGUUCUCACAAUAAUUCUCAACUACAAAACUUGAACAUGCAAUUACCUCGUCUUUGUUCGGGUAAUAACUAAAGCGUUUUUCAUAUUUACCAAAAGAAGGCCUUUUUAUAUGUAAAGUAAUUAAUAAACUGUAAGUGGUGAGUUGGUCGUUUCUGUCAGUACGUGGUCUAGACUUUCUGCGUCUUACAUGUUGAAAACAACAAAGUUGCAUAAAAAUAAUGUUGAUCCCUAGAACUUACUUGCAUGCAUGGCAAUAUAUAUGACACACACACAUCCCUUUCUAUGCAAAAGGCAUACAUAGAAUUCUCUCUUGUAUAUAAAUAGCCCUAUAUAUAUAUGACUAACUCCACCCACAGGGCCACAGUUCAGGAAAACAUAUAAUUCUCACUCUUCUCUAUCUCUCUAGCUAGUUGCUUCUUGAGUUCAAGAAUUUUAUUUUUCUGGUACAGCCGGCAAUGGCAAGGGCUUUAAAUUUUGUGAUGUUCUUCCUUGUUAUACUGUUCUUUGCCCUAACAGUAGAGAACCAUGUAAGCCAUCUUUCAUCUCUCUCCCUCUAGAGAUAAAUAUGCAUCAUUGUAUAUACACACACAUAUAUAUACACCUGGUCAUGCAAGUGUGGGGUUGUUGUCGGCCCACUGCAUUUCAAAUUUGAACUCACUUAAUAUAGUUUAGAGUAGGAAUAUCGCUUGCAUUAAAAAAAAAUUAUAAAUUUGUAUAACAUGCCUGCUUUCUACUAGCAAGAUCUGCAAGUUGUAGUCAGAUGAAAAUUCUUUCCAUGUUGACCAUCUUAACCUGCCGUUAGCUCCUUGGCUUGAAUUCUAACAGUAUACUUGAAACAGAGAUAAUUUCAUUGCAGUAGGAUUGUAAAAACAAAGCAGAAUGUUUUAUUCAGAAAAAAAGAAGGCAUGUACAUUAUUAUAUGCCGAGACACUCGCAAAGAAAUUGGGUGUUAAAUUUAAAUUGAAAAAAAAAAAAACUAAAAUUAUUGAGUGCAUGCAUGUAGAUUAUUCCUUUGCUUGAAUUCUAACAGUAUACUUGAAAAUGAAGCAGGCUAAUGCCACUGGCACUGAAGCUCCAGCACCGCAGCCCCAAAGCAGUAACAACCAUACCAUGGUGAAAUUUAUUUAUUUUCAGACUGCAACUUUUUUAAAUUAUCUGAUUUUUCUGCCUCAGUUUUAGAUACAUUUUUUUUACAGUAUUAGAUUGUUAAUUAAAUGAAAUCUCAAGUUUAUAAUUAUCUCUUGCUCUUAUGCAAUUCAGAAUGGAAUCACUGAAGGCAGCCUUCAACCUCAAGGUAGGGAUGCUAAUUAAGCAUGUAUACAUUACAAUCGUAUUAGCAAUAUUUAAAAUAUUAAGGAAACUUUACCUAGAGAGACAAAAACACAAAUUACAUUUUAUACAAUUUUACUAGUUUUGAAUCAGUUUAAGUAGAGAUAAAAGCCCAAACCCCAACAAAUCUAGCUAAAAAACAAGCAAACCAAAAUUUUAAAAUCCCAGCUAUGCCCCUAAUAGACUUGUCCAAAACUACACCAUUAAUAAAAAACUCCAAAUUGAUUUUAGAUCUGUAAAAACUAAUUUAUGCAAGAUUAGUUUCACAAUUCAUGCACUUUUGCUAGAUCGGUUUCAAAAUUUUCUACACUUCCGCAAGAUUCAUUUCAAAUUUUUUGCACUUCUACAAGAUUAAUUGCAAAAUUACUGCACUUAUGCAAGAUCAGUUUUGAUAUUCUUACACUUUUGCAAGAUCAGUUUCAAAAUUCUACAAUUCUGAAAGAUUAGUUUCAAACUUUUAGCAUUUUUGUAAGAUCAAUUUCAAAAUAUAGGCAUCCAAAUUCCAAAUCAUGAAAAUCUCAAAAUCAAAUACUUUCAGAAAAUACUACAAUAAAAAAGCCAAAAUUAAAAAUCCCAAUGGUUUUCAUAUAAGGAAAAAAACACUCAUAAAUCUAGGCAACAAUUUGAAGAAGGGAACAAGGUAAAGACAAUUUACAAUUAAAAUAAAAAGGGUAUAUGACAUUACUUGCCACGUGGGUAGAUUUUGUCCCCCUAUGCAAUAAAUAAAAAACUUUAUCUCUUUCUAAACUAUAGUUUUAUAAUGUAACUUUACGUGUAAUUUCCUAAAAAUUAAAUGCUUCUUAACCAAAAAAAAAAAAAGGGAAAAUGAAAAAAAAAGGUAGAUAAAUUUUUUUAUUAUUUUUAUUGAAACUGAUUAAGUGAAACAUUGUAGAGUGCGGUCCUCGUUGCACCACAAGAUGCUCAAACACACAGUACAAGAAACCAUGUUUGUUUUUCUGCCAAAAGUGCUGUGCCAAGUGCUUGUGCGUCCCUCCAGGCACAUAUGGGAACAAGCAAUUCUGCCCUUGCUACAACAACUGGAAGACCAAGAGAGGAGGCCCCAAAUGUCCUUGAACCAGCCAUUCCACACAAAAAAUGUCAUUCUGUACUCCUUAGUGAAAUAAAUAACAAAGGACGAAGUUCAUGUUGAUUUUUUUAGUGUUAAUGACAAUUAUCUUUCAAAUUAUAAUUGCUUAUGUCAGCGUUUUAAACUGUGUACUUAAAUUUGAUUAGACUUAAAAUUCUGCAUGUUACAUCAAAUUUGUUGUUUACAGAUGUUUAUGGAAAAUAUUCAACUGCUUAUUAAAUUAAGGUAGUAAAAAGUCCCCCUCUUUCCGUAUUUUUGGAUGGUAAUUUUCCUCCAAACAUGGAGAAUUGGAGAUUCAAAGUUCUAUUGCUUAUAGCUUCCUUGUUUUUAAAUAAAGUGAAUUCGAAAUUGUCUUUCAUUCCAAGUCGUAGCUUGUAAUUGUGUACAAACUAAAGAAUAUUACAAAGAGGAUCCUUUGUGGAUUCCUCAAUCAUACAAAUCGUAAUGUAUGUUAGUUAUGAUGUUAACAGGAAAUUGCUAAACCAAAUACAAGACUGAUCGAAGAUGUCCGAUAUUAGCAAAUCCUUCUGCAAUCAUAUUAGCUUCUCAAUGUAUGUAACAUAUAUAUGGUAUCGUUAGGAAAUUAGAUCAUUAAGUACCAUAUAUCGUUAAUGAGUGAGGAAAGUCGCCAAUUUAGAGCUUGCUUUUAACGCCAUAGCGUCUACCUGCAAAACAGUAGAAUAACCUAUUGGACUAGAAAUAUAAAUUGGUUUUGAAAAGCCAGAAGCUGCUUCUCCAUUGCUUAACAAAAACUAUCGAAAUUGGUUUUGACAUUUAUAUAGAACUAUAAAUUAUAGAGUUAUGAUGACACAAAGAUAUAUAGGAUGAACAAUCUUAUUACAACCAUAAAUUCACCAUAUACUUCCAUCACAUACGGCUUUCAUGGACAGCUGCACUGGGGUUUAAGGAAGCAAAUGAAAGAAGCAUCUCAUCCCUUUGAAAGAUAGCCAUCUCUUGUUCUGCCAGUGUUACCCACGCUUCAAUAUUUUCACCAAGUUUACUAUCAAUCAAAACUAUAAAGUUUUUAAAGCCCAUAGAAGUAGCAACCCAAGUGGGUUUCCCCCACCCAAAAUCCAUAUCAUAUAUUGGAAAUUUGCACAAACUUGUACAACGAAAAAUAUUAACUCCCCUUGAGAUGAAUUCAACCUCCUUUGUAUGAUAUUCGGAAACCACGGCAAAACCAUCUUCGCCUUUAAACCUAUUAGCCUUGUCGUUGCAAAAGUCCGUUAAGCCUUUCCUCAACUUGACAACAACCUCAUGUAAUUUUAUAUCACUUUCUUCAAUAAGCACUGGAAACGCCCAAACGAGAUUACCUACAGUAUUGACCGGCAGUGGAGAGACCAUUCUUUUGCGCAAGUUCAUGGCGUGGAACAACACCGAUGGCCUUGAUGACGAUGUUGAUAUGGACUGUGCAGCAGCAAUAGCACAUUUGACCACAACUGCAGAUACUAGUUCCACAUUUGUAGGGUUGUUAGUAGUAAUAGCUGCUUUUGCCUUGAGACUGGCCAUCUUUGAGGUGCUGAACACAAAACGCCUAGUGGUGAAAUUUUGAUGUGGGUCUGGGAUGUCCAAGGUGCGUGUGAUCAACAUCUCUGAAGGCGGCAGCAACGACGAUCCAAUAAACAAAGGAAGCACUUGACCUAAUCUCUGGUCAUGACCAAUGAAUUCUGAUUGAUCAAGAGCAGUACUGGCUGCCGUCCAACUUUGGACAAAAGUGCACAAGGAUGAAGCGUCCGCGAUCUUGUGUAAAAGAGAGACUGCAAUAGCAAUUCCUCCACAGUUAAAGACAGUGAGUUGAACAAGCAGAACAAUAACGUCUUCCUUUUCAGCACUGGAGGUGGGAAUAAAGUGCUGGAAUAAGGUGGAAUCAGGUUGGGAGAGAAAAUUCAAGAGGUGGCAAUCCAUUCGAGCUUCUACAAAAUAAACCCCUUGGUCAUUGCACUCAAUGGUAGCAGCGUCUUUGAGCCGCCCGGCAAGUGGAUAGAAAUGAACCAAGGUUUUGGACAACGACUUCUGAAGGUGGCUUGACAUUUUCAAUGCAUGGGGAUUGAAGUCGCCAUAAGUAUGAUCAUAGUUGCUGGUAGACGAGUAGAAGAAGAUCAUAUUGCCAUACAAAUUAGGACUAUGUCUUUGGUCCAAAAGAGAGAGCUUGAAGUUUUUGUGAUGAUGAGGAGUUGGGGAGGAUGGCCUAAUUGUUUUUCUUGAAAUGAUCUCGACCUUCAUUUCUUUCACCAUCGCUCGAUCAUUUGCUGCUUUUUCCAGUUCAUCGAUUUAUAUAUAUUGGCGAUUGUACAUGAAAUGUAGAGUAAUUAGCUCCAUCUUAAAUUUUUUUUUGAAAUGAGACUAAACCUAAUCUUUCCUUUUGCACUUGACUUGAUUAGAAUAGUGUGCUCAUUUGAAUUCUAAUUUUCUUUUUCAUAAAUCGAAUUAGAUUAGAACAUCGAUAAAUAAAAACUAUCAAUUUUUCUGACUAUAAAAUAUAUUAACCUAAUUAUGAAUUCAAUAUGAAGCAUCCCACACAAAACAAUUGUUAUUUUAUUUUUAUGGUCAAGCAUAAUUUAUAUAUAGGGCCACUAUGGAAUAAAUUUAUAUAUGCAAGUAAUCUAGUUGUUACAAUUUGUUUAAGAAAUGAGAUAUAAUCUCAUAAUUUAAGCAUCCAAUGUAGUACUAAGUACUGACCAGUUAAUAUAGAAAUGAUAUCUAAUUAAUGAAGACUUGAGUUCACAUUGUUGAUGUCUAUACACACAAGUAGCCUACUUGUUACAUUUUUUAAUGGGAUAAGAUGGAUGAUGUAUUUCAUAUGAGCCAUUAGAUUAAUUUUAUGAUAUAUUAAGUUAUCAACUUGAAUAAUCCUAUUACAUUGAAACACAAUAAUUUGUGAAGUAGUUAAAUUUAAAAAAAAUUAUCAUGUGAAACUUUCCAUCUUCUUCUCCUAUCUUCUCUCUCCUCCACAUCCCCUUCUUUUAUCCAUCUCUCUCUCGAUUGUUCACUCUCCUUCUCUCCUCUUGAGCUUUUUGUUUUUUCCUUUUCUCGCAUGAAAAAGGGAGAUGUAUAUAUUUCAAAAUUUUCACUGUCUUUAGAAAAUUUCAUAUGAAAAAGCGUUCACUCAUUCAAGAAAAAGAUAUCCGAAUUUUCGAAGCCACACAAUCUCAAUUUUGGGGUGCUUUUAACUAAAUGGGUUUGAAUAUUAUUGAUAAAAGAAUGAAUGAAAUUGGAUGUAAAGUUAUUAAAUUAGAGGGUUUAGAUAUUUGAUUAGGUGACCAGGUUUUGUAGAUGGAAGGGAUUCGAUAUAUGAUGUGAAACAUUCUUUUUUCUUCUUAUUUUUUUUAGUUUUUUAGUUUUUAUCAAUUAAUAUUUUAUUUCUGUGUAACAAAAAAUAUUUAAGUUGAUAGC